Cydia strobilella is the source of this 568-nucleotide long non-coding RNA. RefSeq lists it as uncharacterized. The record is from RefSeq and is a predicted model, not a curated record. NCBI's taxonomy places the organism in Eukaryota, Metazoa, Arthropoda, Insecta, Lepidoptera, Tortricidae. The transcript has 3 exons.
UAUAUCUGUGAUAUGUACCAAUGGCACCAACCAUCCGCAAAACGUUUUCUUUCAAAACAAAACAUGGACGUUCGCAUAAAAUGUGAACUGGCGAUAUGUGAUUCCAAGUCAAAUAAAACAAAUGUUUGGAGUGUAACUAAUUUUAAAGAACAAAUUGAAAUAUCACUCACACGAAUCUACAAAAGGAUUUUGCCACGAAUUAUGGAUGAAAUACAACGAUAAUUAUUGGAAAAUGCAGUGUUACAGGUUAAAAUUAUUAUAAAGCAGAAAAUCAAGAAAAAAUGCCUGUAUUUAAAUGUCUGCCUUUAGUAUUUGAAGACUGCUUUUUAUACUGGAUACAACAAGAAAGAUGGCUUUAUAUGUUGCAUCGCCUAACGUCAGAUACAAGAUACACUAGUAGUUACAAAAAUGAAGAUUGCUCCUAAAAGUCCCUAACAUGACUGUGAUGAAAGAAUAUGGAAGAUGAAAAAUGGGUACCUUCCAGGCAGCAGCAUCUUUAAGAACGUUACCCUGAACUAAGACUGAAAGCUGAAGAAAUGUAUUUAAAGCCUUAGUUAUUAAAUAGUGA